UACAGAGGGUGCAAGCGUUGUUCGGAAUUAUUGGGCGUAAAGCGCGUGUAGGCGGCUUUGCAAGUCGGGUGUGAAAGCCCUCAGCUCAACUGAGGAAGUGCGCCCGAAACUGCAGAGCUUGAGUGCCGGAGAGGGUGGCGGAAUUCCCCAAGUAGAGGUGAAAUUCGUAGAUAUGGGGAGGAACACCAGUGGCGAAGGCAGCGAUCUGGGAAGAUACUGACGCUGAGGUGCGAAAGCGUGGGGAGCAAACAGG
RNAcentral lists this ribosomal RNA (253 nucleotides) under uncultured bacterium. Its description in RNAcentral is "partial 16S ribosomal RNA". It matches the Rfam family "Bacterial small subunit ribosomal RNA", at positions 524 to 776 of the family's 1533-position model. The record is from RNAcentral.